RNAcentral lists this ribosomal RNA (494 nucleotides) under uncultured soil bacterium. RNAcentral describes it as "bacterial SSU rRNA". It matches the Rfam family "Bacterial small subunit ribosomal RNA", at positions 26 to 517 of the family's 1533-position model. The record is from RNAcentral.
AGAUUGAACGCUGGCGGCAGGCCUAACACAUGCAAGUCGAGCGGCAGCACGGGUACUUGUACCUGGUGGCGAGCGGCGGACGGGUGAGUAAUGCCUAGGAAUCUGCCUGGUAGUGGGGGGAUAACGCUCGGAAACGGACGCUAAUACCGCAUACGCCCUACGGGGGAAAGGGGGGAUCGCAAGACCUCUCACUAUUGGAGCGGCCGAUAUCAGAUUAGCUAGUUGGUGAGGUAAAGGCUCACCAAGGCGACGAUCUGUAGCUGGUUUGAGAGGACGACCAGCCACACUGGGACUGAGACACGGCCCAGACUCCUACGGGAGCAGCAGUGGGAAUUUUGGACAAUGGGGGAAACCCUGAUCCAGCCAUCCCGCGUGUGCGAUGAAGGCCUUGGUUGAAGCACUUUUGGCAGGAAGAAACGGCGUUAGACUAAUAUUCAAGCGUCACUGACCGGUACUGCAGAAUAAGCACCGCUAACUACGUAGCCAGCACGCCG